AGAAACCAAACGCACUUCGUUAAAGCUGCGAUGUGAACGCGUUUAAGAAAAUAGCAGAAGGGCAUAGAGGACCAGUGGAGAUGCUGAGGCAGUUGAGGCACUAUAAGAGAAUAUUUAGUGUGACAGCUGAAAUAAAGGUCAUUAUAAAGGUUAACAUCAGAGGCCAGCAUCCAUGUUGAACAGACUCUAAAGUUCAACCUGAACCCUGAGGAAAAUAAAACAACGACAUCGAGUGACAGGAAAUGUAUGGCUUCACGCUGUGCCUCAGACAGCAGGUGUACUGUCAUGUGAUCACAAGCAUGGCUCUCUGUCAUUCGCAGCAAUCACUGAACGACACCACCGGCAAAUAGCUACUGCAGAAGGACGAUUUCUCAGGGUGUCAAUCAUCACGAUCUGUUCAAACAUGUCUCUGGCGCAGCGAAACCAACGGUGAUGCCAGAAGUGUCAUGCCUGUUCAAACUGAGGGAGCACAUGUGAUCACUGCAUUUUAAGGGAAUAGUUUACCCAAAAUUAAAAUUUGCUGAAAAUUUACUCACCCUCAGGCCAUCCAAAUUGAUUCACCCCAAGGCCAUCCAAGAUGAAGAUGAGUUUGUCAACAGAUUUGGAGAAAUUUAGCAUUACUUC
Molecule: long non-coding RNA, 624 nt
Organism: Cyprinus carpio carpio
Lineage: Eukaryota; Metazoa; Chordata; Actinopteri; Cypriniformes; Cyprinidae
Source: Ensembl